RNAcentral lists this ribosomal RNA (465 nucleotides) under uncultured bacterium. RNAcentral describes it as "partial 16S ribosomal RNA". It matches the Rfam family "Bacterial small subunit ribosomal RNA", at positions 28 to 507 of the family's 1533-position model. The record is from RNAcentral.
GACGAACGCUGGCGGCGUGCUUAACACAUGCAAGUCGAACGGAAAGGCCCUGCUUGCAGGGUACUCGAGUGGCGAACGGGCGAGUAACACGUGGGUGAUCUGCCCUGCACUUCGGGAUAAGCCUGGGAAACUGGGUCUAAUACCGGAUAGGAGCCAUUUUUAGUGUGAUGGUUGGUAAGUUUUUUCGGUGUAGGAUGAGCUCGCGGCCUAUCAGCUUGUUGGUGGGGUAAUGGCCUACCAAGGCGGCGACGGGUAGCCGGCCUGAGAGGGUGGACGGCCACAUUGGGACUGAGAAACGGCCCAGACACCGACGGGAGGCAGAAGUGGGGAAUAUUGCACAAUGGGCGAAAGCCUGAUGCAGAGACGCCGCGUGGGGGAUGACGGCCUUCGGGUUGUAGAAUCCUUUCGCUAGGGACGAAGCUUUUUGUGACGGUACCUAGAUAAGAAGCACCGGCUAACUACGUG